This 156-nucleotide ribosomal RNA is filed under the name Bradyrhizobium japonicum. RNAcentral's name for it is "partial 16S ribosomal RNA". It matches the Rfam family "Bacterial small subunit ribosomal RNA", at positions 1380 to 1533 of the family's 1533-position model. The record is from RNAcentral. Lineage: Bacteria; Pseudomonadati; Pseudomonadota; Alphaproteobacteria; Hyphomicrobiales; Nitrobacteraceae.
CUUGUACACACCGCCCGUCACACCAUGGGAGUUGGCUUUACCUGAAGACGGUGCGCUAACCCGCAGUGGAGGCAGCCGGCCACGGUAGGGUCAGCGACUGGGGUGAAGUCGUAACAAGGUAGCCGUAGGGGAACCUGCGGCUGGAUCACCUCCUUU